Molecule: small RNA, 2541 nt
Filed under: Pan troglodytes (chimpanzee)
Lineage: Eukaryota; Metazoa; Chordata; Mammalia; Primates; Hominidae
Description: retained intron
Source: RNAcentral
CCGAGAACCUGCGCAAGCUGCGCAGCCUUGACCUCUCGUGGUGCCCACGCAUCACCGACAUGGCGCUGGAGUACGUGGCCUGCGACCUGCACCGCCUAGAGGAGCUCGUGCUCGACAGGUGCGCGCCCCCGGGCCGCGCCGGGCGGGGCUGGGCCGGGCGGGGCUGCACGGGGCCGGGGGCGGGGGCUUCCGGCGGGGCUGGGGCUGUGGCGCGGCGGGCAGAGCCCUCGGAGCCUGGGGGAAGCCUGGGAAUGGGAACCGCAGCCUGGGGAGUGGGAACCGCAGAACCGCAGCACGGGUUGGCUGGACCCCCGUCCUUCCCGGUGGGUGGGAGCGAGGAGGGGCCAGCGGCUGCUCCGGGUGGGGCAGGAAGGGAUUCGCGCCAGGGGCACUCCCAGGAAGACGAGGGAUGGCCGGGGCCAGGUGAUUUGAAGGUGGGGGUCCCCUCUGGUGCAACCACAGGUGUGUACGCAUCACGGACACUGGCCUCAGCUAUCUGUCCACCAUGUCGUCCCUCCGCAGCCUCUACCUGCGAUGGUGCUGCCAGGUGCAAGACUUCGGGCUGAAGCACCUCCUGGCCCUGGGGAGUUUGCGCCUCCUGUCUCUGGCAGGCUGCCCGCUGCUCACCACCACCGGGCUGUCGGGCCUGGUGCAGCUGCAGGAGCUGGAGGAGCUGGAGCUGACCAACUGCCCCGGGGCCACCCCCGAGCUCUUCAAGUAUUUCUCGCAGCACCUGCCCCGCUGCCUCGUCAUUGAGUAGCGCGAGGCCCCCGCCCCGGUCGCGGGAACCCGGCCAUGACUUGGGCGGGGGCGCGGGGCGCCGCCGAGCCCCCUCUUCCCGCCUUGCGCUCGGGGGAGCCCCCGCGCCCCCGGCCCAGCGCGGGAGGCGGGGCGAGCCGAGGGAAAGCCCCUCCCCGACCUUCGGUCCCUCCGCCCUCCCAGCCCCGCCCCGGGCAGGGGGGCGGCGGGUGGGCCCGCCCCACGCACGCACGCACACUCGGGGACUUUGUGCAUGCCCCUCGUGCCCGCACUGCACGCCGCCCUCCGCCACGCCACAGCCACAGCCGCCGCCAUCACUCGCUCGCCCUCCCGCUUGGGGGGCGGGGCUCGGUCCUUGGGGGGGCUUUGAGCUCUCCAGACUGUGCCCUUACCGCCUUCCCCGCCACACCCGCUCUGUCUUCCCACUGUCCCCCCAUCCCGGGCAGGGCCCAGUGGGAUUGAGGGGGCUGGGUCCCCCAGGACACGGGCCCAGAAGAGCCCCACGGGCUUCCUGCAUCUUCCACCGCACCAUGCCUGGAGCCCUCCGAGGGGUGUCAGGGGAAACAGGCCACCGCCAAAGCCAUGGCCCGCCGCCGAGAGCCCAAGCCCCACCCGCACCUCCUCACCCAUCCAGCCUGACCCACGCGGCCUCUCCUCCUCCUCCUUGCCGCUGUGUGGGGCAGUCCCCUGUCCGCCCCAAAACCCGGCCUUGGUCCCUGGCCAGGCUGAGACAGAAUUGGGCAGGGAGAGGGCAGAAGGGCUGGCGAUCACUUGGAGUCAUUAACAUGAUCCCAGCUGACUCCGGUCGGCCUCAACCCAGGGGUGGCGCAGGCACCUUGCAAGCCCCGAGCUGUAGCCACCCUCAGGCCUGGGAAGAGGCCUGGGCCGACCUCACACCUCAGCCCUUGCACCCGGCCGGGCUCAGUUCAGGCCUGGGCACCGAGCUUCACCCUGGGUGGGUCUCCUCAGGUGGAGUCUGCAGAGUGGACCCAGCCAAGGGUCAGGGUCAGCACUGGGUCAGCGACUCCAAUCUUCCAGUGGCCAGCACACCCUAGACACCCCGAGGAGGGAGGGCUCCUUUCUAGCCUGCCCCCCCACCCCCACUUCACCCCUCCCCAGCUUCCCAAACUUCUGUCUGCCCAAAUGGGCUCUGACCGUGCUCUGUCGGCCCGAGACAUUUGGAAGUCCUGGGGGAUGCUGGCAAAUCUCAGCUGUUGCUGAGGAGGGGGCUGGGACCCCUUCCCAUCCCAACCUUGAGCCCCAGGAGAUACCGCGCCCACACCCAAUCUUGGGACACUCCCUAUCUGGUUGGAAGAGAGUAACCAGUUUCCAGAGAGCCAGAGAGUGAGAGAGAGAAAGAGAGUGAGAGAGAGAGAGAAAGAGAGAGAGAGAUGCUGUUGAAUCAGAAACAGAUCAACAGCCCAAAGAUUUUCCUGUCCCUGGAGUGCCAGCCCCAGGAAGCUCCAGGGCUGAGUGGUCAGGAGCCAGUUUCUCCAGCCCCUCCUCCCCACAACCCCUAGUGGGGAGGGGCAGCUGUCCAUUUGCCCAAAGUAUUAAUGCAACUGAAGCUGUGAUAUUUCCAACGACUGUAGGAGGAAAAAUUAAGGGGAGAGAGGAAAACAAAACCAACCAACCCCUAAAAUCAUUUUCUUAUUGUACAUAACGACCUCAUUCUCCUGUAUAUGCGGAAGAUAUAACCUUAUAUUUGGUAAGUGUUUCUUGUGCUAUUUUAUCACGUGACCUGUUUAUAAAAAUAUAUAUUAAAAAAGUUGUAAAAACAUG